AACAUCGCGCACCUGCGGGAACCUGCGGAGGGAUCAUUAAUGUGAUGGAUGUGCUAGUCUUGACUUCUCAAUCCUCCUUUCAAUACUUAUUGCUAGGUGGGGGCUUAACAGCUCGAGAGGAAAGGAAACAAAAGCCCGUUUGGGUGUGCACUCCAAUACUAUCCAAUUUUAUUUUAACCUUGUGCAUUUUUGCCUACAGAGCAAACAAAGAGCAUCAAAAUGAUGCUUUUGAUUGUGUAU
This 240-nucleotide unclassified non-coding RNA is filed under the name soil metagenome. RNAcentral's name for it is "partial contains 5.8S ribosomal RNA, internal transcribed spacer 2, and large subunit ribosomal RNA". The record is from RNAcentral.